AAUGCCUUACUAUAGAUCGGUUCUAGCGGGAACCAGCCGCUAGAAGUAAUAGGGAAAGUUCGGUGCAAGUCCGGCGCUGUUCCGCAACUGUAAUGAGGCGCAAUCUCUAAGUCAGGAUGCCUACCGAUAGAAAAACUCUAUA
This 142-nucleotide non-coding RNA is filed under the name Aliterella atlantica CENA595. RNAcentral also lists the same sequence under 1 other name. Lineage: Bacteria; Bacillati; Cyanobacteriota; Cyanophyceae; Chroococcidiopsidales; Aliterellaceae. The record is from RNAcentral.